GCCCCUGUAGUUUAAUGGAUAGAACAAGGGAUUCCUAAUCCCUCGAUAUAGGUUCGAUUCCUGUCGGGGGCA
Molecule: transfer RNA, 72 nt
Filed under: Candidatus Jacksonbacteria bacterium
Lineage: Bacteria; Candidatus Jacksoniibacteriota
Description: tRNA-Arg
Rfam family: tRNA
About the family: Transfer RNA (tRNA) molecules are approximately 80 nucleotides in length. Their secondary structure includes four short double-helical elements and three loops (D, anti-codon, and T loops).
Source: RNAcentral